Molecule: ribosomal RNA, 460 nt
Filed under: uncultured bacterium
Lineage: Bacteria
Description: partial 16S ribosomal RNA
Rfam family: Bacterial small subunit ribosomal RNA
Source: RNAcentral
CCUACGGGAGGCAGCAGUGAGGAAUAUUGGUCAAUGGACGAGAGUCUGAACCAGCCAAGUAGCGUGAAGGAUGACUGCCCUAUGGGUUGUAAACUUCUUUUAUAUGGGAAUAAAAUGUUCCACGUGUGGGAUUUUGUAUGUACCAUAUGAAUAAGGAUCGGCUAACUCCGUGCCAGCAGCCGCGGUAAUACGGAGGAUCCGAGCGUUAUCCGGAUUGAUUGGGGUUAAAGGGAGCGUAGGUGGAUUGUUAAGUCAGUUGUGAAAGUUUGCGGCUCAACCGUAAAAUUGCAGUUGAAACUGGCAGUCUUGAGUACAGUAGAGGUGGGCGGAAUUCGUGGUGUAGCGGUGAAAUGCUUAGAUAUCACGAAGAACUCCGAUUGCGAAGGCAGCUCACUGGACUGCAACUGACACUGAGGCUCGAAAGUGUGGGUAUCAAACAGGAUUAGAUACCCCAGUAGUC